CCAGCCUCACGCGGUGCCCUCCAAUCUAAGGACGGAGAAGCCUCCGCCUUCGCAGAGACUCCACCGUUCAACUCACCACUUGGAACGGGCAGGCCAGAAGAUAGCACCCAAAGCCCAGCCUUCAGGGCAAGCCCAAUUGUACCACCAUCUUAAAGCUCCCACUAAGGUUACAGACUCGCGUUACCAAGCCCAGCGAGCAGUUCUUCCAGAUAGGAGCUUAUUAAGAGAAAAUAAUUCUCAUCUGAUUUCGUCAUUUCGAUGUGGGAUAUUGUGCGAGGGCUGCUGGUUUGGCUUUCAUGGCAUAAAAAUGGAGCAGACAACUAUCGGUACUCAUGGUUUUUGCGUUGUAUCAUUGUUCACCAAAACUUAGUGAAUGAAAUGGCAGAGACAUAGCUGGGAAGCUUCCCUGAAUGGAAUGGCAGAUAUCAUUGGGUUCUGCUGCCACCGUCCAAUCACACCCUAUAAGCUUUGCGUUGUAUCAUUGUGACGGGAGGUGAUGAGGAAACAGGUAGCGGGCGCACUAUUUGGAAGCAUUGGGGAUGUCUCCUGGUGAACUGUGAUCUUAUAAUGGAAACAGGAAGCAUGCCCAGUGCCCCCAAUUUGUUAUGACCUGAGGAGUAUCAAAGUUCAGAGUUGCUAUCCUUAUGUGAAUCCUUUUUCCUAUUUUAUGUUGGUGGGGAUGCUAGCUCAUCAGAUGUUUGUACAGGAUUCUCAAAGUGGCACAUUGCAAUAUGGUAACUUUCCUUCUUUGUUUGAUAACUGAUACUCAAUCCUAUGGCUAUGAAUUUCUAGCAUUUCAAUUUUUUUUUUCUUUUUUUUUUUUUUCUGUUUGGUGUGACAGUCAGUCUGUGUAUGGCUUUGGUUUCUUUGAACCUAUUAAUAUAUAUUAUAUGCUUAGCUCUGUAGAUGGAUAGUUGAAAUUAUUACACCUCAACAUGUUAAUUGGCAAUUGCAGUAUACAUAAUUUAUAAUGCUAAAGGGUAGCUGUGAAAAUGACUCCAGUAUACGGUGCCAAAACACUUCACACUCCCAUUUAGCUCUCUAAAUUCUACAUUGUUGUAAGGUCUUGGGCUGUGUGACCCAAAAAGAAAAAGAUGGAGGUUCAAUUUGGGCUGGGAAAUUGAGCAGAGAGCUGUGUGCAUGGUUUUUGCGUUGUAUCAUUGUUCACCAUAAAGUUAGAAAUGAAUUGAAGUUGCAGCGGCGGUUCGUAUUGAUUGGUUGUGGCUGGAAAAUGGUGAAGGGACUCAGUAACGGAGCACAGAACCUCCCGGUGGACGUUACUCAGCUGAUGGAUCAGUUGCUUAGCCCCUGAUGCUUCUCUCCUCUCCAAAUCCACCUACUAUGAUCUCCAACUUGCGAGGCUGCGAGGGAGGAGAUAAGGAAAGAGCGGCCGCAAUAUUUGGAAGCAUGGGUGCUAUAUAUGUAAAAUUUUUCAGUUUUGAUCAUAUAUUGAGUUUAGGGGAAAUUAGGGUUGUGAUUUGAGAUUAUGCUUUUUUUUUUUUGGAGAUUAUAUAAAAUUUUGCAGUUUUAAUCUAUGUUUCCAUUCAAGGUUUUGGAGCAGAUACUUGGAGUGGUUAUCAAGCUUGUCAAAGAUAUAAAGUUGCAACAUCAGCAUAAAUAUGAUGAGCUUGCUACAAAAGACUUGGCUGAGCAAAUUAAAAUGUGUGACACUAUGAGUGCAAAGUUGAGGUAGGAUUCACCCAUUGCUAGGUUUGGUUGCUUUGCAAUUUGUUCUGUGUUGAGCUGAAAACAGAUUCUUUGUUUGUGACAAUGACGAUUUUUGGGAGGUCAUGCUCCUCUUUUGUUAAUGGAAGCUAUUCGCGACAUGCUCUACGAGGAUUGAGUUUUGUAUAUUCACCACAUUUAUCGGGAAGCAAUUAAAUAGUUGAGUUGAAUAGUUGGCUUGGAGCUAUACCUCCUCAAUACUUCAUUUAUAGGUUUUUGAUGAGCUCCCAAGUACGCUUUGGCCAUCACUUAUUGUAAUGUCUCAGAAAGACAUUUAUUUAGUUUCGAAAUAUCAUUCUUAUUGUCAGAUACAAAA
Long non-coding RNA from Ipomoea triloba (trilobed morning glory), 2041 nucleotides. RefSeq lists it as uncharacterized. The record is from RefSeq and is a predicted model, not a curated record. The transcript is spliced from 5 exons. Lineage: Eukaryota; Viridiplantae; Streptophyta; Magnoliopsida; Solanales; Convolvulaceae.